UAGGGAACUGAAAGGACGGACCCUUCGGGAGCCUAUACAGGUGUUGCAUGGCUGUCGUCAGCUCGUGUCGUGAGAUGUUCGGUUAAGUCCGCUAACGAGCGCAACCCUCGUCGUAUGUUAUAUGUGUCAUACGAGACUGCCGGUAAAAAGCCGGAGGAAGGUGAGGAUGAUGUCAAGUCAGCAUGACCUUUAUAUCCAGGGCUACACACACGCUACAAUGGUCUGUACAAUGGGUAGCCAAGCCGCGAGGCGGAGCCAAUCCUGAAAGCAGGCCUCAGUUCAGAUUGCAGUCUGCAACUCGACUGCAUGAAGCCGGAGUUGCUAGUAACCGCAGGUCAGCAAUACUGCGGUGAAUACGUUCCCGGGUCUU
RNAcentral lists this ribosomal RNA (370 nucleotides) under uncultured Anaerolineaceae bacterium. Its description in RNAcentral is "bacterial SSU rRNA". It matches the Rfam family "Bacterial small subunit ribosomal RNA", at positions 989 to 1382 of the family's 1533-position model. The record is from RNAcentral. Lineage: Bacteria; Bacillati; Chloroflexota; Anaerolineae; Anaerolineales; Anaerolineaceae.